UAGGGAAUCUUCGGCAAUGGACGGAAGUCUGACCGAGCAACGCCGCGUGAGUGAAGAAGGUCUUUGGAUCGUAAAGCUCUGUUGUUAGAGAAGAACGUUGGUAGGAGUGGAAAAUCUACCAAGUGACGGUAACUAACCAGAAAGGGACGGCUAACUACGUGCCAGCAGCCGCGGUAAUACGUAGGUCCCGAGCUUUGUCCGGAUUUAUUGGGCGUAAAGCGAGCGCAGGCGGUUCUUUAAGUCUGAAGUUAAAGGCAGUGGCUUAACCAUUGUACGCUUUGGAAACUGGAGUACUUGAGUGCAGGAGGGGAGUGUGGAAUUCCAUGUGUAGCGGUGAAAUGCGUAGUUAUAUGGAGGAACACCUGUGGCGAGAGCGGCUCCCUGGUCUGUAACUGACGCUGAGGCUCGAAAGCGUGGGGGGCAAACAGG
This 429-nucleotide ribosomal RNA is filed under the name Bacillota bacterium. RNAcentral describes it as "Firmicutes bacterium partial 16S ribosomal RNA". It matches the Rfam family "Bacterial small subunit ribosomal RNA", at positions 355 to 776 of the family's 1533-position model. Lineage: Bacteria; Bacillati; Bacillota. The record is from RNAcentral.